AUACGUAGGCAGCAAGCGUUGUUCGGAGUUACUGGGCGUAAAGAGUGCGUAGGUGGUUCUCUAAGUUCGGUGUGAAAUCUCCCGGCUCAACUGGGAGGGUGCGCCGAAAACUGGAGGGCUUGAGUAUGGGAGAGGAGAGCGGAAUUCCUGGUGUAGCGGUGAAAUGCGUAGAUAUCAGGAGGAACACCUGUGGUGCAGACGGCUCUCUGGACCAUUACUGACACUGAGGCACGAAAGCGUGGGGAGC
RNAcentral lists this ribosomal RNA (247 nucleotides) under uncultured bacterium. Its description in RNAcentral is "partial 16S ribosomal RNA". It matches the Rfam family "Bacterial small subunit ribosomal RNA", at positions 523 to 769 of the family's 1533-position model. The record is from RNAcentral.